Molecule: ribosomal RNA, 503 nt
Filed under: uncultured bacterium
Lineage: Bacteria
Description: bacterial SSU rRNA
Rfam family: Bacterial small subunit ribosomal RNA
Source: RNAcentral
GAUGAACGCUGGCGGCGUGCUUAACACAUGCAAGUCGAACGAAGCGCUUUUGUCAGAUCCCUUCGGGGUGAAGACGUUAGUGACUGAGUGGCGGACGGGUGAGUAACGCGUGGAUAACCUGCCUUACACAGGGGGAUAACAGUUAGAAAUGACUGCUAAUACCGCAUAAGCGCACAGCAUCGCAUGAUGCCGUGUGAAAAACUCCGGUGGUGUAAGAUGGAUCCGCGUCUGAUUAGCUAGUUGGUGGGGUAACGGCCCACCAAGGCGACGAUCAGUAGCCGGACUGAGAGGUUGAACGGCCACAUUGGGACUGAGACACGGCCCAGACUCCUACGGGAGGCAGCAGUGGGGAAUAUUGCGCAAUGGGGGAAACCCUGACGCAGCAACGCCGCGUGAUUGAAGAAGGCCUUCGGGUUGUAAAGAUCUUUAAUCAGGGACGAAGGAAGUGACGGUACCUGAAGAAUAAGCUCCGGCUAACUACGUGCCAGCAGCCGCUGUAAAAC